This 1173-nucleotide long non-coding RNA is filed under the name Struthio camelus australis. Its description in RNAcentral is "lncRNA (ENSSCUG00000015896.1)". The record is from RNAcentral. Lineage: Eukaryota; Metazoa; Chordata; Aves; Struthioniformes; Struthionidae.
AUGGUUAAAAGAGAUUUACUGGGCAGAGUAUUUACUCUUUGUUCGGUACAUGUCCCUAAUAUUAAGCAAGGCACCUUCCUUGAUGGUUUUAUUUUUGCCUUGCCAAUAUCUUCUGAAAAUCUCAGUACUCAGAGAGCUUUUAACUUUGCCUUAAAUUUUACAGUGCAUAGUUCAUGUCAUGGAAGUAAGGAAACUUAUUCACAAGGUCCAUUCCUGAAACAAAAUACUAUCCAGACAGAUGUCUUGGCUGGACAAGUGAUGCCCUCUUUGAAGAUUCAUUUGUUUUAUUCACAUAACCAUUUGCUGAUCACACGACUAUAUUAUAUAUUACUGUCUGCAUCCUUACAGGAUUCUCUUACUCAGGCAAAGAGAGGUGAAAUGACAUGGUCUGUCUCUCUUUCUGUCUUGAUGACACAAAGAAACUGGUGGGGUAGUCAGAGGCAUAGAAAAUAUCAACUGAACCUUUUUCUUUUCAAUUCAUUUCUAGUGCUGGAGGUUGAAACUAACAAAAAACAAGUCUGUUUCCAUAACGGCAUAUUACUUGCCAGCUCACUGUAUGGGAUUUAUAAUAUUGUAUUGAAGAAAAAGUUAAUUGAGAAAACUUCAGGAAUUAAAAGGAGGAAAAAUGCAGCAUGCAGAUUUCUUAUUUCUGAAAGAAAAAAAAUGGAGUUAUAUACAAAUACAAGUGCAAAGACAAAUUUGAAUAAGCUUGUGCUUUUAGGGUGCCUACUACAUGCUCUUGUGCUAGGAAAAAUAGUGAGUAUUUUAAAUCAGGGUGGACAAAAGCACAGUAAGACAGAGAAGAAAGGAUAUACUGUUACAGCAUAUAAGCUAAGAAGUGAAAACCAUACAGUAAUACAUACUAGAAAACAAAACAGAGAAAUUCGUUACCUUCUGAGGACUCAUGCUGGAGAAGCUGGGGUCCAAGUUAAAGCUGAACAUUUGCAGAGAGACUCGGAGGACAUCCAAUCAGUCACACUUGCAGGGGGAGGACCUGGUCCAAAGAAGUUCUUGAUUAAGUUCUGCAAAACUUUGACAGACCACUUUCGCCCCAAAUUAACUGAUCUUAUAUGUUAUUUUCUAAACUUCAGACCUUUAACAGAUACUCUGAAGGAAGCUGAUAACGUUGUUUUAAAGGCUAGGAAAUAUAAAAGUGAUUUUUUCAUCACAUAG